RNAcentral lists this ribosomal RNA (305 nucleotides) under uncultured bacterium. RNAcentral's name for it is "bacterial SSU rRNA". It matches the Rfam family "Bacterial small subunit ribosomal RNA", at positions 337 to 640 of the family's 1533-position model. The record is from RNAcentral.
UCCUACGGGACGCAGCAGUGAGGAAUAUUGGUCAAUGGGCGGGAGCCUGAACCAGCCAAGCCGCGUGAGGGAAGAAGGUACAGCGUAUCGUAAACCUCUUUUGUCAGGGAACAAAGGCGGGGACUAGUCCCCGGAUGAGGGUACCUGAAGAAAAAGCAUCGGCUAACUCCGUGCCAGCAGCCGCGGUAAUACGGAGGAUGCGAGCGUUAUCCGGAUUUAUUGGGUUUAAAGGGUGCGCAGGCGGCCUGUUAAGUCAGCGGUAAAAGCCCGGGGCUCAACCCCGGCGGGCCGUUGAAACUGGCGGG